RNAcentral lists this unclassified non-coding RNA (138 nucleotides) under soil metagenome. RNAcentral describes it as "partial internal transcribed spacer 1". The record is from RNAcentral.
CUGAGUACUACACUCUCUACCCUUUGUGAACUAUUAUACCUGUUGCUUCGGCGGCGCCCGCGAGGGCGCCCGCCGGUCUCAUCAGAAUCUCUGUUUUCGAACCCGACGAUACUUCUGAGUGUUCUUAGCGAACUGUCA